UGAUGUGUGUCCUUUGGGACACACCUUUGGGAGGGACACACACUCCAUGUGCGUCCCUCCCAAAGGUGCAUGCUCAGUGGAAAAGGACAACCAUACCAGAUAGAAAUACUGUUCUGAUCUUCGUCAAGGAUAUAUGCUAGUUGCUCUCCUUUGCUAGAACAUCCAAACAAGCUCAAUGUUUUAGAAUGCUAUGGAUUACCAGAUAUUUUUGUGUCAUAUGAUUGAAUUAUUCUGGCAAGUUAGAAGGAGAUUAUUUCCUA
Molecule: small nuclear RNA, 260 nt
Filed under: Notechis scutatus (mainland tiger snake)
Lineage: Eukaryota; Metazoa; Chordata; Lepidosauria; Squamata; Elapidae
Description: 7SK RNA (ENSNSUG00000012413.1)
Rfam family: 7SK RNA
About the family: 7SK was discovered as an abundant small nuclear RNA in the mid-70s but a possible function has only recently been suggested. Two independent studies have found that 7SK RNA binds the CDK9/cyclin T complex (known as elongation factor P-TEFb).
Source: RNAcentral